GGAGAACCUGUGUGUGGAAACUCUGUAUCUAACUAAUCUGAUGGGGAGGUGGAGAACCUUUGUAUGUAGCUCAGGGAUUGUAAAGGGCACCAAUCGGCGCCCUGACAAAACAGACCACGCCGCUCUACCAAUCAGCAGGAUGUGGGUGAGGCCAGAUAAGAGAAUAAAAGCAGGCUGCCUGGGCCAGCAUUGGCAACCCGCUCGGGUCCCCUUCCACAUCGUGGAAGCUUUGUUCUUUCGCUCUUUGCAAUAAAUCUUGCUACUGCUCACUCUUUGGGUCCACGCUGCUUUUAUGAGCUGUAACACUCACCGCGAAGAUCUGCAGCUUCACUCCCGAGCCAGCGAGACCACGAACCCACCAGAAGGAAGAAACUCCGAACACAUCUGAACAUCAGAAGGGCAGACUCCAGACACGCCACCUUAAGAGCUGUAACACUCACCGCGAGGGUCCACGGCUUCAUUCUUGAAGUCAGUGAGACCAAGAACCCACCAAUUCCGGACACAAUUUCUUGGCUCUCAGUGGCUUCCAUGGAAGUUCUGCAAUCAACCAGCAGGAGAACCGCUUAAACCCAGGAGGCGGAGGUUGCAGUGAGCCAAGUAUGCAUCACUGCACUCCAGCCUGGAAGACAGAGUGAGACCCUGUCUCAACAAAAUAAAUUAAAAUAAAAAAUAAUAUAUUUUUCUAACUAUCAUCCCUUUUCCAAAUCAGGAAUUCCCCUUAAGUUUUCCUCAAUUUCCAUGGCAAUAUCUUUGCAUAGAUUCAUUAAGAAUUUGUCCUUUUUAAAUAAAAAAUAUAAAGGGAACUAUUCAUUAGGCAACAAAUGCCUUGUCUGAAAUAUCACAUUUGAGAAUGCUGCUCAUUUAAUCAGAAAGGUACGCUACUUUAAAGAACUGAGGUCCACUUUCUGGAGCCAAAAACUCAUAAAUCCCUCUCAGAAAAACCUGAUUUGCUUUGUAGGGUCUCAGGUUUAGAGAUGCUGAAAAAGAUAUUUUCGUUGCAGACAAAGGACCUCAGAGUAUUUGGAGAACUUUGAGAAGAGAGGAAUUCUCCCAAAUGUAUAGGUGUCACAGGUAAAAUACAGUCGAGAGAUUUUCUUGGACUUUAAUUCCUUAAAUCAGGAUAGCAAAUAAUAGGGGCUUUUACAAAUUCAAUCUGUUUCCUUACAAAAAUUUUCAGCAAAGUAAUUUCAGCAAAUUAAUUUUCAGCAAAGUAAAUGUAAGAAGACUUAUGUGAAAAAUUAACAUUCUCCAUGUAUCUAUGAAGCCAAACCUAAUAAAACCAGCUUUAAUUUGUGCUCAAGAAUAUUAUUUCACUGAGUUUUCUUAAAUCACAAAGGGGAGACUGUUAUGAAAACUGAUAUAAAAUAAAAAAAACAAGGAAGAAAAGUCUACUAGAUGUCUCUAAUGGAAGACUGCAUUUUUAGAACAUAUCCUUAUAGGCGAUUCUAGCCUUUCUCUGCUAUUUGGCUCUCACACUCUUUACCGUGCAGAUAAUUCACAGCAAUGCAAAAGAAUCCUCAUCUAUAGCCAUGAAAAUAAGUUAUUUGUUAUUUCUGGUAAAGGUUCAAUUGACCUCCCCUUCCAGGAUGAAGAAAGUUUCAUGUCUUUCUGCAUCAUUUCAACUAUUCCUUACUACAUAUAAAUCUGCACUUGUUAACUUCUAUUUUGAAUUGAUUGUGGCAUCUGCCUGCUUCCCCAUUAAAACUGAAUAAAAUCUUUAACACAUAAAAAUGUGUGAAGUAAUUUUUCUGUUUCCUUGUACAAAUUAGAAAGUAAAAUUGAUAAGUGUUCAAAUGACUCAGGCUUCAAGUCCCAUAUUCUUCUUAGUAGAGCAGAGGAUGCC
RNAcentral lists this long non-coding RNA (1843 nucleotides) under Homo sapiens (human). RNAcentral's name for it is "HSALNT0139628". Lineage: Eukaryota; Metazoa; Chordata; Mammalia; Primates; Hominidae. The record is from RNAcentral.